Molecule: long non-coding RNA, 422 nt
Filed under: Fukomys damarensis (Damara mole-rat)
Lineage: Eukaryota; Metazoa; Chordata; Mammalia; Rodentia; Bathyergidae
Description: lncRNA (ENSFDAG00000033512.1)
Source: RNAcentral
AAGGACCCCUGGUGACCCAGGCACAGUGCACAUCAUAUGUGUCACAUCUUAUGUGUCUGCAGGUUGGCAUCCAACCCGGUGGAUGACGCAGGGCUGCUCUCCUUCGCCACAUUCUCCUGGCUCACACCGGUGAUGGUCAGGGGCUACAGGAACACACUGACUGGGGACUCCCUGCCCCCAAUGUCUCUCUAUGACUCCUCUGACAUCAAUGCCAAAAGGUUUCGAAUCCUUUGGGAUGAAGAGGUGGAAAGGGUGGGCCCUGAGAAGGCCUCCCUGGGCCAAGUGGCCUGGAAGUUCCAGAGGACGCGGGUUUUGAUGGACAUUGUGGCCAACAUCCUGUGCAUAGUCAUGGCAGCCAUAGGGCCGGUGAGUGAGGUGGCUCCUCUUCCCUCUUCCCUCUCAAGUCCCCAGCUGGGCAAAGU